RNAcentral lists this transfer RNA (75 nucleotides) under bacterium. RNAcentral describes it as "tRNA-Thr". It matches the Rfam family "tRNA". From Rfam's summary of the family: Transfer RNA (tRNA) molecules are approximately 80 nucleotides in length. The record is from RNAcentral.
GCCUUCAUAGCUCAGCGGUAGAGCACUUCAUUGGUAAUGAAGAGGUCACGAGUUCGAUCCUCGUUGAAGGCUCCA